This 271-nucleotide long non-coding RNA is filed under the name Phoenix dactylifera (date palm). RNAcentral describes it as "long non-coding RNA (PDAC_LNC018848)". The record is from RNAcentral. Lineage: Eukaryota; Viridiplantae; Streptophyta; Magnoliopsida; Arecales; Arecaceae.
AAAGAUUUGAUGUAAAAGGUCGAUCCUAGGUCCUAGAUCUUUUGAUAGAUUCUAGAUUACUGGAAAACAUGAAUUAAGAUGAAAGUAAGAACGACAAGAAGUGAGCUUAUGGGAUAUUCACCAUGUAAUAUUUACAUUAAUCUUCUAAUUAUGUUCCAAAUAUAUGCAUGCAUAAUACCGAAUAACAAUCGACAGCAUUCAAUAGCCUUGAAGAACAUCGUGGAAUAGAGAAACAAAAUGUGCAGCAAAAAGAAAAUGAGAUUAAACAGUA